Molecule: ribosomal RNA, 293 nt
Filed under: uncultured Thauera sp.
Lineage: Bacteria; Pseudomonadati; Pseudomonadota; Betaproteobacteria; Rhodocyclales; Zoogloeaceae
Description: partial 16S ribosomal RNA
Rfam family: Bacterial small subunit ribosomal RNA
Source: RNAcentral
GCAACGAGCGCAACCCUUGUCACUAGUUGCCAUCAUUUGGUUGGGCACUCUAGUGAGACUGCCGGUGACAAACCGGAGGAAGGUGGGGAUGACGUCAAGUCCUCAUGGCCCUUAUGGUAGGGCUUCACACGUCAUACAAUGGUCGGUACAGAGGGUUGCCAAGCCGCGAGGUGGAGCCAAUCCCUUAAAAGCCCGAUCGUAGUCCGGAUCGUAGUCUGCAACUCGACUACGUGAAGUCGGAAUCGCUAGUAAUCGCAGAUCAGCAUGCUGCGGUGAAUACGUUCCCGGGUCUU